Molecule: ribosomal RNA, 445 nt
Filed under: soybean epiphytic bacterium EP116
Lineage: Bacteria
Description: bacterial SSU rRNA
Rfam family: Bacterial small subunit ribosomal RNA
Source: RNAcentral
CAAGGUUAAAACUCAAAUGAAUUGACGGGGGCCCGCACAAGCGGUGGAGCAUGUGGUUUAAUUCGAUGCAACGCGAAGAACCUUACCUACUCUUGACAUCCAGAGAACUUANCAGAGAUGNNUUGGUGCCUUCGGGAACUCUGAGACAGGUGCUGCAUGGCUGUCGUCAGCUCGUGUUGUGAAAUGUUGGGUUAAGUCCCGCAACGAGCGCAACCCUUAUCCUUUGUUGCCAGCGNUUNGGUCGGGAACUCAAAGGAGACUGCCAGUGAUAAACUGGAGGAAGGUGGGGAUGACGUCAAGUCAUCAUGGCCCUUACGAGUAGGGCUACACACGUGCUACAAUGGCGCAUACAAAGAGAAGCGACCUCGCGAGAGCAAGCGGACCUCAUAAAGUGCGUCGUAGUCCGGAUUGGAGUCUGCAACUCGACUCCAUGAAGUCGGAAUCG